GGGGCCCUACGGGACGCAGCAGUAGGGAAUCUUCCACAAUGGACGAAAGUCUGAUGGAGCAACGCCGCGUGAGUGAAGAAGGGUUUCGGCUCGUAAAGCUCUGUUGGUAGUGAAGAAAGAUAGAGGUAGUAACUGGCCUUUAUUUUACGGUAAUUACUUAGAAAGUCACGGCUAACUACGUGCCAGCAGCCGCGGUAAUACGUAGGUGGCAAGCGUUGUCCGGAUUUAUUGG
RNAcentral lists this ribosomal RNA (232 nucleotides) under uncultured bacterium. RNAcentral describes it as "partial 16S ribosomal RNA". It matches the Rfam family "Bacterial small subunit ribosomal RNA", at positions 333 to 557 of the family's 1533-position model. The record is from RNAcentral.